Ornithodoros turicata is the source of this 1966-nucleotide long non-coding RNA. RefSeq lists it as uncharacterized. Lineage: Eukaryota; Metazoa; Arthropoda; Arachnida; Ixodida; Argasidae. The transcript has 2 exons. The record is from RefSeq and is a predicted model, not a curated record.
UAUCGAGCGACAUCCCGUGCACGCUGACACGCGAACUUCCGACGCGCGCAUUACCAAACAUGACUGCGGUUGGCUUCGUAUGAAUUUUGCAUCUUGCCACCAAGCCCGGGUAGCCCCAAGCCCAACUCCUCGAAGCUAGGGAGAAGCAUGGUCUCGCAGCCGUCGCCUGGUCCAGCAAGGGGUCCUUAUUUUCGGGUUCCUCGCGACUCGAUACAAAGACUGCUCCAGCGCAGCGAAAAUUGAUAGUGCUGACCUCGAGUAAACCAACGAACCAAACGAGAACCAAAUCUCGUUGCUGACCUCGAGGCCAUCAAUGUCCAAUACUACUCCUGCCCCGAUGCCUCCUGAAGUUUGGGCACGGACACCGAUCAUGAGAUUGCCACCCACUAUUUCCCAGACCUCGCACUGUAUCAACUGCGGUACCAUCGUUCCUAUGCCGCCUGCCCAUGUUGUUCUUCUCUCCUCGACAACCAGGGCCACAGCCAUCGUAGACGUCCAAGUGGGAAAUCGUGGGCUCUUCCCCGGUCUCCGACGGUCUCCUUACAGUUCCCGGAGGCGUCGGCGAUCUAGAUCAUCCAGGCGACGUUUCACAUCACGUUCAUCAAAGGGACGUCGCGGAAGGUCAUGGUCCUACAGUUCGAGCAGCCCUGAGUAUUCAUCUUCGGGUGAUAAUUCACACCGACGUAUACCCAGAAGCACUCUCAGACGCCCUCCCGAACCGUACUAUGCUGAUCCACCUCUACCGCCUCCAACCGACCCUCUAGAAAGAUACAGCACGGAUCCUGAGAUUACUGGAAGGCCAGACCAGAUGUACGACAGUCCAUUACUUGGAAACGCGCAGUAUCUUACCCAUUCCGGGAAGCACGUUCCUACGACAUAAGCCUGUGGUGGUCGGAUGAAGGUGGUCGGAGUAAGGGUGAUCGGAUGGAGGUUACUGUUCAACGACCUGAGCUUACGGGGUUCAACUUCAACUUGCACUGCUCUGGAAUCUAUCACUGGGAUGUUGCAAGACAAAAUUCAGGCGACCCGUCAGUUGUCCAUCGGAGAUACGUUGCGGCUGGUACCUGCUGGAAAUGAGGACGUCGUUACCGCGUGCCUGGUUGAUAUAAUACAACAAUUUAUAUAAUACAAUGUAAUACAAUAAUAUAAUAUAUAAUACAAUAUAAUACAACAAUGACUGAUACAGAAACUAACUUUCUAGUCAAAUUUUGAUGUUUGCGUGACUGCGAACUUAACCUCGGAGAUGGUGGGUGGCAAUCUGAUGAUCGAUUUCCGUGCCCAAACUGCUGGGGGCAUCGGGGCAGGAGCAAUAUUUGCUGGACAUUUGCUGGCUGGACAUUGAUGGCCUCGAGAUCAGCACUUUCACUUCUCGCUUUGCUGGAGCAGUCUUUGCAUCAGACUUCACGUCUCAAACUUCUUUCUUUCUUUCUUUUUUUUUCUGUUGGCUUUGUCACACUGGUUGUAGUAGUAGUGCUCGGCGCGCUCCUUGAAGGUGUGGCAAUUACGGGACUGCUACCUUUUCCUACAGUUGCUUCCCCUUUCUUCGGCUUCUUUGUCUUCUUGGAUUUCUUAGAUUUCGUUUUCGACAGAACCCUGGGACUGGAAACUUUGCUGUCAGUAGCUGCCGUGCUACUGGGCCAGCCAUGCGAGAUGGCGUACGUCUGACGGACAUUCCAGCAUUUGAGUUCGUACCGCCAUCGUCAGUGGAUGUGGAACGCACCUUUUCGGCGUAUCAGCUGGUACUGGGCGACAAGCGCCGGAUCUUUACGCCGACAAAUCUCGAAAUGGCGCUUGUGUCGUACUGCCUCUAUACAACUUUACCUGAUGAAUGCUUUUUAUCGUAAAACUGUGAACAUUCUGUGAACUGUCAACUUUUGUGAACUGUGAACUUCUGUGAACAUUCCUUGCUUGACCCAGUUAGUUCUUGCCUUUAGUUUAAUAGAAUUCUUACCCAGUUAAGUGGAAA